Exaiptasia diaphana is the source of this 221-nucleotide long non-coding RNA. RefSeq lists it as uncharacterized. The record is from RefSeq and is a predicted model, not a curated record. Lineage: Eukaryota; Metazoa; Cnidaria; Anthozoa; Actiniaria; Aiptasiidae. The transcript has 4 exons.
CAACAGACAGUCAUCGGGUCAUCGCUGCUUUACGACAGCAAGUUAAAGAUUUGCAACAACAACACAGCGAACGAGAGAUGUUACAGUUGGAUGAAAACGAACUCAGAGAAUUAAGACACGAAAAUCGAAAACAAGAAAGCGAAUUAAUAGAAAAAGAAAAGAAAAUCAAGUUAUUACAAGCAAAACUUGCUGAACUGAAGAAAGCUUUCCAAAGAGAAUUG